Long non-coding RNA from Salmo salar (Atlantic salmon), 3564 nucleotides. RefSeq lists it as uncharacterized. The record is from RefSeq and is a predicted model, not a curated record. Lineage: Eukaryota; Metazoa; Chordata; Actinopteri; Salmoniformes; Salmonidae.
AAUAAUUUGUAUGUGUUAGGAAAAUGACUUAACUGUUCCACUCUAAAAUUAUAGAAUAGGGUGAUAUGUUUAAGAAUAAUGGGAAGAUAAAAUCAGGAUAUGGGGAGAUCGGUUAGGAUUGUAAAACUUUGAGGUGAUAUUCUUUAGUAGGGAUGUAAACUGAGUGAAGUUGUAGAUUAGGUAAAAGAAAAACAUUGGAGAGGUUUCAAACCAAGAGGGUCAUAAAGGGGGAGGGGAGGUGAAAGCCUUGAAGAAUGUGGCAAACUUUAUGGUUCUUUGUGGUGAGUGGAAAAGCACUGGUUGUUUGAGAAGGGAGUGGUCUAAAGAUAGGAAUAUGUGUGUGUAUUAUAAAAGGACUGAGUCCUAAUUCUCUGAAUAAACUACAGAUCUUUCGCAGAAAGCUGAGUCCUUGCCUAAUUAUUAUUAACCCAGUGUCUUACAAACCUUGGGGAUUAGUCAAGGCUUAUUGAUUGUUAAUUAUUAUCAUUGGGAUUUGAAAAUUCCCUUAACAAUUGGUCCUUCGAGCAGAUCUCAUAUACUUGUUGACUGUCGUUCCAGGGGACACUGAAAACCGUGCACGGGCGGAUGAAUCAUCCGUAAAAAACAAAGUCCUGCCCUCUAAUAAUCGAGGGUUCAUUUCAGGCCGGUGGUGAACUGGAAAACGACAGUAAACGGUGACGAGACCUAACCAAAAUUAUACCUCAGCUGCAAAGAAAAGGUGAAUUACAGGAGAAGGUGAUUCAUGCAAUAUAGCUUGGAGACUGGGUGUGGAUCCAGUCCCUGAGGAGAAAAGACUGGAAACAGCCCCGUUGGGAAGGACCCUACCAGGUUCUGUUAACUACCGCCUUUGCCAUUAGAAUAGCUGAGAGAGCCACUUGGGUCUACGUUACCCACUGCAAGAAGGUAGGAACACAUACAAGCACUGCUGAUCACACACAGAGUUAGGAGAAGAACCGAGUACCAAUAGGGUUCGGGGGUUACCUCCUUAACGAAGAUUCCCUAACCCGACCUGUCAUCACUGUGUGUGUUCCUAGAGUGUGAGUAUGGGGUGGUUCCGGGCAGAUAGGCUGCAGGCAGGAGAGGGUUGGUGAUUUUUGGGAAUAUGGGGGGGACCCUAAACUGCAUCAUAGUACUAAUAAUAUUCUUGAUACAUCCAGAUCCACCAUCAGUAGGCAUAAAUCGUACCGAAUCUCUACCAGGGUUGAGAAGCAAAAGACAAACUACUCAAAGUAAGGACAGGCAAGGAAGACUAACAUAUAAAAUAGGGGUUAGAGAAGAACAAAACGCGAGAUUCAGGAUGAGGGUACUAAAUAUGACUAACGGACGACAACACCCCCUUAUACCUGUGUCAACCAACUAGGUCUAUGUGUUCCUGGUCACAGGUGUUUAAACACACAUGGGGCAGGGAAUAUGAGACUAAUAUCUGGAAAUGGAGUGCACGGUGGGGUGUUGAACGGAAUAACUAUACAAAUGUAACUAUACAAAAUGUGACUAGGAAUGACAUGCAAAUUAAGUAUAUGGCAUGCGCUGAUGAGUAGGGCAAGGAUACCUGCAUAUCAUUUCAGUUGACAGACACUACAGGAAAAUACACCGUAGUAAAUCCGUUAUUAGGAAUUGCUAAUUCAGGUGGAAAAUCCAUUAGUCUACCUGAUGUGAAGGACUUCCUUCUCCAAGAAAGGAACCAAGGGGAGAUAGAAGGAAUACCAGAUGAAAAUCUGGUUAAGAUGGAUGAAUUAUACGGCCAGGGCUCUGGGCCAAACCAAUUGUUAUGCAUGCUCUACUGGGUGACCAACUAUGUUGACGGCUCCAAUGCCACAGACUAUGCUCUCUUGUGUGUUAGACUUAGGAUCUAAUCAGGAGGAGGUGAACUGUACAGGAAUGGGGUUGGCCAGAUUAAAGAGUGCAGCCAAUCCACUUCAGUUCACUCUAACUCCUGGAGAGUAUCAGUGUUAUAGACACAGGAAUGGCAGUAGGGAUUUGGGAGAUUUUAAUGGAGGUAAGACAGUAGUGAAUGUGACAGACUUAGAAGUGCAGGAGAAGAUUCUUAACCUUACAGCACCUAUAACUGAUGUAUGGUGGGCAUGUUCCGACCAAGGACGCAUAAGGCAGAUGUUACCAAAAGGGUGGGUAGGUACUUGCGCCCCAGUGUUAUUGGUACAAUCAGUGAGGAUUAGUCAUCAAAGGCCAGUGGUGAGUAAAAUAGUAAGAAAUAAGAGAAGUCUGGUCCUAGAUGAGGGUAGCCCCAUUCCAUUGGGAUCCCUAGAGGAGUACCAGAUGAAUACAAGGCGUUGAAUCAAAUAGGUGAAGGGUUCACAACUACUUUUUUUUGGUGGGUUACGAUAAAUAAGAAUGUGGAUUGGAUAAACUAUAUCUAUUAUAAUCAACAAAGAUUUGUAAAUCAGACUAGAGAUGCAGUGAAGGGAAUCUCUGACCAAUUAUCCGCCACCUCUCUCAUGACUUGGCAAAAUAGGUUGGCUCUCGAUAUGUUAUUGGCAGAGAAGGGCGGGGUUUGUAGAAUGGUGGGGGGUCAUUGCUGUACUUUUAUUCCAAAUAAUACAUCACCAGAGGGGACUGUAACUAGAGCCUUGGCUGGGUUGACCGCACUAAGUGAUGAACGGGCUGAGAACUUAGGGGUUAAUACAUCUGUGAUCGGAUGGUUUGAUGAAAUGUUUGGCAAAUGGAAAACCAUAGUAGCUACUAUUGUGGGGGCUGCUAUUGUUUGUAUGGGUAUGCUGGUAUUAUGUGGUUGUUGUUUUAUUCCCUGUGUCCGAGGUUUGGUGAGUAAGGCGUUGGAGAAUGCAGUGACUCAAAAGAUGGUGAGGUACGGGCCCAUCGCAGAGUCUGACCAAUUGAAUGAACGAGAUACAGAUCUAGACCUGAUGGACACCGCUGAUACAUUCAAUCCUGAGGAGCCAGAACUUAAUGAGACGAUUUUCAAUGUUUAGAGACUGUUUAUUCAAUGAAGAUCAUGAUGAUAAUCCUGAACAGAAGAGUUAGGAUUGGUAGUAGUAGUAAACAGCCAUUGAUGAGUAGAUGAUGUAUAUACAUUUAAUGGUUUGAUUUGGUAUGAUUUUAUUGUUUAAUAAAAAUUGAAGUAUCAGAGUGUAACAUUUAGUCAAAGGGUGGAUUUGUAUGUGUUAGGAAAAUGACUUAACUAUUCCACUCUGAAAUUAUAGAAUAGGGUGAUAUGUUUAAGAAUAAUGGGAAGAUAAAAUCAGGAUAUGGGGAGAUCGGUUAGGAUUGUAAAACUUUGAGGUGAUAUUCUUUAGUAGGGAUGUAAACUGAGUGAAGUUGUAGAUUAGGUAAAAGAAAAACAUUGGAGAGGUUUCAAACCAAGAGGGUCAUAAAGGGGGAGGGGAGGUGAAAGCCUUGAAGAAUGUGGCAAACUUUAUGGUUCUUUGUGGUGAGUGGAAAAGUACUGGUUGUUUGAGAAGGGAGUGGUCUAAAGAUAGGAAUAUGUGUGUGUAUUAUAAAAGGACUGAGUCCUAAUUUUUGACUUUAGAACGGGACUGAGUCCUAUUUUUUUACUUUCUCUGAAUAAACUGUACAGACCUUUUGCAGAAA